This 495-nucleotide ribosomal RNA is filed under the name uncultured bacterium. Its description in RNAcentral is "partial 16S ribosomal RNA". It matches the Rfam family "Bacterial small subunit ribosomal RNA", at positions 28 to 507 of the family's 1533-position model. The record is from RNAcentral.
GACGAACGCUGGCGGCGUGCCUAAUACAUGCAAGUAGAACGCUGAAGGAGGAGCUUGCUUCUCUGGAUGAGUUGCGAACGGGUGAGUAACGCGUAGGUAACCUGCCUGGUAGCGGGGGAUAACUAUUGGAAACGUUAGCUAAUACCGCAUAAGAGUAGAUGUUGCAUGACAUUUGCUUAAAAGGUGCAAUUGCAUCACUACCAGAUGGACCUGCGUUGUAUUAGCUAGUUGGUGGGGUAACGGCUCACCAAGGCGACGAUACAUAGCCGACCUGAGAGGGUGAUCGGCCACACUGGGACUGAGGCACGGGCCAGACUCCUACGGGAGGCAGCAGUAGGGAAUCUUCGGCAAUGGACGGAAGGCUGACCGAGCAACGCCGCGUGAGUGAAGAAGGUUUUCGGAUCGUAAAGCUCUGUUGUAAGAGAAGAACGAGUGUGAGAGUGGAAAGUUCACACUGUGACGGUAUCUGACCAGAAAGGGACGGCUAACUACGUG